RNAcentral lists this transfer RNA (72 nucleotides) under Pseudomonas aeruginosa. The record is from RNAcentral. Lineage: Bacteria; Pseudomonadati; Pseudomonadota; Gammaproteobacteria; Pseudomonadales; Pseudomonadaceae. RNAcentral also lists the same sequence under 3 other names.
AAUUCAGCGAUAGACUUGAAAACCGUCGAAGGGGAGACUCUUCCGUGAGUUCGAAUCUCACCGCCUCCGCCA